This is a non-coding RNA of Paramuricea clavata, 73 nucleotides long. Lineage: Eukaryota; Metazoa; Cnidaria; Anthozoa; Malacalcyonacea; Plexauridae. The record is from the annotation of a GenBank genome assembly.
GCCUCUGUAGCUCAGUUGGUUGGAGCACUGCACCGGAAUCGCAGGGCCGUAGGUUCAAUUCCUACCAGAGGAC